CAACCUUUUAAGGAUAUCAUUAACAACACAUCCCUUGCGGAAUUGGAAAAGCGGUUAAAAGAGACACCUUUCAACCCUCCUAAAGUUGAAAGUGCCGAAGGUUUUCCAAGUUAUGACACAGCCUCUGAACAACUCCACGAGGCAGGCUACGAUGCCUACAUCACAGGGCUGUGCUUCAUCUCCAUGGCCAAUUACCUAGGUUCUUUUCUCAGCCCUCCAAAAAUUCAUGUGUCUGCCAGAUCAAAACUCAUUGAACCUUUUUUUAACAAGCUGGAGUGCAAUGGCGUGAUCUCGGCUCACCGCAACCUCUGCCUCUCGGGUUCAAGUGAUUCUCCUGUCUCAGCCUCCCAAGUAGCUGGGAUUACAGAGUCUCGCUCUGUUGCCAGGCUGGAGUCCAAUGGCGCAAUCUCGACUCACUGCAACUUCUGCCUCCUGGGUUCAAGUGAUUCUCCUGUCUCGGCCUCCCAAGUAGCUGGGAUUACAGGUUAUUUCUUAUGAGGGUCAUGGA
Molecule: unclassified non-coding RNA, 508 nt
Filed under: Homo sapiens (human)
Lineage: Eukaryota; Metazoa; Chordata; Mammalia; Primates; Hominidae
Description: poly(A)-specific ribonuclease (ENSG00000274829.4)
Source: RNAcentral